RNAcentral lists this transfer RNA (93 nucleotides) under Sphingobacterium sp. N143. RNAcentral describes it as "tRNA-OTHER". It matches the Rfam family "tRNA". From Rfam's summary of the family: Transfer RNA (tRNA) molecules are approximately 80 nucleotides in length. Their secondary structure includes four short double-helical elements and three loops (D, anti-codon, and T loops). Further hydrogen bonds mediate the characteristic L-shaped molecular structure. tRNAs have two regions of fundamental functional importance: the anti-codon, which is responsible for specific mRNA codon recognition, and the 3' end, to which the tRNAs corresponding amino acid is attached (by aminoacyl-tRNA synthetases). tRNAs cope with the degeneracy of the genetic code in two manners: having more than one tRNA (with a specific anti-codon) for a particular amino acid; and 'wobble' base-pairing, i.e. permitting non-standard base-pairing at the 3rd anti-codon position. Lineage: Bacteria; Pseudomonadati; Bacteroidota; Sphingobacteriia; Sphingobacteriales; Sphingobacteriaceae. The record is from RNAcentral.
UGAGGUGUGGCGGAAUUGGUAUACUCAACCUACGGGAGUACCGAGUUACCGGAUAAAAUAGUAACAAUGCAGGUUCGAAUCCUGCCACCUCAA